This 253-nucleotide ribosomal RNA is filed under the name uncultured bacterium. RNAcentral describes it as "partial 16S ribosomal RNA". It matches the Rfam family "Bacterial small subunit ribosomal RNA", at positions 524 to 776 of the family's 1533-position model. The record is from RNAcentral.
UACGUAGGGAGCAAGCGUUGUCCGGAAUCAUUGGGCGUAAAGCGCGCGUAGGUGGCCAUGUAAGUCCGCUGUGAAAGUCAAAGGCUCAACCUUUGAAAGCCGGUGGAUACUGCAUGGCUAGAGUACGGAAGAGGCGAGUGGAAUUCCUGGUGUAGCGGUGGAAUGCGCAGAUAUCAGGAGGAACACCAAUAGCGAAGGCAGCUCGCUGGGACGUUACUGACACUGAGGCGCGAAAGCCAGGGGAGCAAACGGG